This is a long non-coding RNA of Jaculus jaculus (lesser Egyptian jerboa), 518 nucleotides long. RefSeq lists it as uncharacterized. The record is from RefSeq and is a predicted model, not a curated record. NCBI's taxonomy places the organism in Eukaryota, Metazoa, Chordata, Mammalia, Rodentia, Dipodidae. The transcript is spliced from 4 exons.
UGUCACAGGCUUCCGGCUUAGGACAGCGGACUGGGGAAGGGGCGGCUGGCGCCAUGUCGGGCCGCGAAGGUGGCAAGAAAAAGCCCCUGAAACAGCCCAAGAAGCAGACCAAGGAGAUGGAUGAGGAGGAUAAGGCUUUCAAGCAGAAACAGAAGGAGGAACAGAAGAAACUCGAGGAGCUGAAAGCGAAGGCCGCGGGGAAGGGACCCCUGGCCACAGGUGGAAUUAAGAAAUCUGGCAAAAAGUAAGCUGUUCCAUAGUCCUGAGAAGAUGGUACCCCUCGUUCAUUCCUAUUUAAACAUCUGGAUUUCCUGUCAUUGUUAACAUCUUUUGCCACCUGUAACUAGAAUGAAGUGUUGUCUUGGGGUCUGGUGUACAUUACAAUAAACUUUUGUAAAAAAAAAACAAAAACAAAAAAAAACCCCUACCAAUCAUACAGUGGCUCAUUGUCUCCAGCUUUCAUUCAGCCAUUCCUACCUCAGGUGUGAACUCAAAAUAAACCCAGUCUCGCAUCCAGA